UCAUUGGUUUUGAUACAUGAUCAUCAAAUGGGCAUGUGUCUCAUUUGUACUCUUUUUCCCUUGUGAAGUUUUGUCCCAAUGGGUUUUCUUGACAAGGUUUUUAAUGAGGCAAAUGAUUCAAAUUCAAA
Molecule: small RNA, 128 nt
Filed under: Arabidopsis thaliana (thale cress)
Lineage: Eukaryota; Viridiplantae; Streptophyta; Magnoliopsida; Brassicales; Brassicaceae
Description: ATSL095160
Source: RNAcentral